Molecule: long non-coding RNA, 1177 nt
Organism: Ruditapes philippinarum (Manila clam)
Lineage: Eukaryota; Metazoa; Mollusca; Bivalvia; Venerida; Veneridae
Exons: 7
Source: RefSeq, a predicted model, not a curated record
CCAACUUUAGAGUUAUAUAAAAUUGUAUAAAGAUCCCAGAUCAGUGACAGGUUAAAUGUUUAUAAUUAUAUUUGGGUACAAACCUCCUGAUUGGAGUACAUUUCUUACGACUGGUUGGUAAAGAUCUUAAUGCCCAACUGAGUAUGAUAGGUUAACCCAGUAGCUUAAAUAGAAUAGGAGCGCGCGACCCAGUACUUGUGACGUCACUCGCUACCCGAAGUACAUCGUGGUGAACGGUGAAGACUACUUGGAACUCGUAUAUCUCAAUAAAUACAGAGAGUUAAAAGCUAAAAUCGGUCUCAAAAUGGAGCUAAAAAUUAGUAUGAUCGACAGAAAACAAAAAUACAGGUUGUCAAUCAGUAUUAUUCGUGAAAACAUCGAUAAAGCUUGGACUAGAUCGGGAUCAUGAGACGCUUGACGAGACGGCAAACAAUUCCAUAAAAUAAAAGCGUCCCGUGACUUUGUAAGACACAAUACACAAUUUGACAUGUUCAUAGCAUUGCCCUCCCCCCUAAAGGAUUGGUCUCCAAUUAAGCAGGACAAGAAAGAAUAAUUACACCAAAAGACCAGUGUAUUACAAAAGAUGUACAUUAUGUUAGAUGUUGAAAGUAUUUACAUCCAAGAAAUAAUAUGAUAAAUAUAAAAAAAUAAUGACCAUCAACAUUACAAUCUACAAUUAACCAACAUCAGGUACAAAUGAAAUGUGACUGUUAAGCAAUAAAGAGGAAAAAUCCUACACAUCAUUUGAGGAAAAAUUAAGAAGAGCGUGUGGAAGAUGACGUAGAAGAUGAUGAUGACGAAGAUGUUGUUGAUGUUGCAGAAGAUGAUGAUGACGACCUUGAUGAUGAUGAUUAGUGAGAACCUGAUUUGUUUGUGGAAACAUAAGGUAUCAAAUUCGAUCUAUUUCAGGUUUGCCAAAGACUAAAUCAAUUGGAAGUCGAAUUUCAGAGCCAAACAUCAUGGUUGUUGGUGUGACACCAGUUGACUCGUGCACAGACGAACGAUAUGCCAUCAAACAAAAAGAAAGAAAUAUCAACACUGUCACUGAUCCGGUCAACAUAAAGAAAUACACUGCUGUUUAUUGUACAGUUCAAUCAAUAAAUUAACUGAUCAACUUACUGUUCAUUUUCUGUAAUCCAGAAUUCAUGGAUAUCGAUAUUUGGCGCUAUUGUACCUU